GAGGACGGUGGCUCAGUUGCAGAGCACCUGCAUUGAAUGCAGAAGGUUCCAGGUUCAAUCCUUGGCAUUUUCG
Podarcis lilfordi (Lilford's wall lizard) is the source of this 73-nucleotide non-coding RNA. Lineage: Eukaryota; Metazoa; Chordata; Lepidosauria; Squamata; Lacertidae. The record is from the annotation of a GenBank genome assembly.